UCUUGAACUUCUGGGCCCAAACAAUCCUCCCGCCUUGGCCUCCCAAAGUGCUGGAAUUGCAGGUGUGAGCUAUUGUGCCCAGCCUAGUUCCUGGAAUUCUUUAAGUAAAAGGCAUGGUCUAAACAUUAAGGCAUCAGUGAGGUAGUGGUGUAGGUUUUGUGCUUGGUGGGGGUGCAUUAAAGAAUGCUCUAGUAGGAGUGAGGUGAAGCUGAGCCCCAUUCCUACUCUGUCUCAAUUGUAACCUCAUUUUCAUUUCUAGUGAUUGAUCUACAAACGUACAAAUAUAGUUUUGGUAAAUGAGACCUAAAGGGAAUUUUAAUGGGGAAUUUCUGAGACGUGUCUCCCCUGCUCCCAAGAAAGAGAUGCGGAAGAGGUGGCCGGAAACCUCACGAUGGUCAGCCUUGCCCUGGCGGGAAGCAGAUUCCUCUGUAAGAGUGCUGAACAAAUAACAUUUUCAAAUGUGUUCACUGAAUUAAUGUAUUGUUGUUGCUUAUUUCAAAAUAAUUAGAAAAAUAAUUUAGUAGGGCUGAAUCCAAAUUCCCUAUGGAAUACCAACUAAUUAAGUUGGAAUCUUAAUUAAAUGAUUAAUGGAAUAGACUUCUAAUAGCUGAAAUUAGCUAUAUUUCUCUCUAUUCCAUAUCCCUUUUGUGGAUUUUUGUCAUUGACCCCAAUUUGCUUGUGGAAAUUGCAAGGCAACAGAAAACUCUGAAGCACUGGUUUAGAACACAGAUGGUCUGAGUUCCGGUCCAUGUCUGCUCCUGGAUUGUGAGUAGGUAUUCUACCCUCUCUAGAUAGUAGUUCCCUCCUUAUCUGUUUCAAUGUGAGGCUGGGAUUUGCUGAUCUAUGGUAUACCAAGUGUUUUAUUUUGAUAAAAAUAUUCCUAUAUUCAUUA
Molecule: long non-coding RNA, 892 nt
Organism: Cercocebus atys (sooty mangabey)
Lineage: Eukaryota; Metazoa; Chordata; Mammalia; Primates; Cercopithecidae
Exons: 2
Source: RefSeq, a predicted model, not a curated record